GUCAGGGCUGGUAGAGGCCUAGGUGUUAUGAAUGUUCACGGUUUGUGUUCGAAGGCCGCUCGACCCGAUGGGUCUGAGCUGGGGAGGAGGAUAUGUGAUAAAGUGAAGGCAGAUAGGCCUUUUAACCCCAGGGGGAGUAUGUGUAGGAUGUGUUGUAGGCAACACAAAAUGCUGUUUAGUUAUGGGCCCCUGGGGUGGAGC
Molecule: non-coding RNA, 201 nt
Organism: Pelobates cultripes (western spadefoot toad)
Lineage: Eukaryota; Metazoa; Chordata; Amphibia; Anura; Pelobatidae
Source: the annotation of a GenBank genome assembly